GUAAAGGGCAAUCCUCCUUGGUGAUCCAGGUUUCCAAAGUAUGGUCCAAGGGCAAGGCUUCUCCUGAAGGAACGUGACACAGCCGCAGCUUCUGCCGAGAGAGAAACAAACCACACAGUGACCGGCUAGAGAGGCUGCGAAGUCCACCACCUUCCCAAUGCUCCAGCGGAGGCAGAAGAACAUGGCUUUGCUCUUCUCUUUGCUCCCCUUCGGAAACAAACUGGUUUCUACUGUACUGCUUGGAACCCCGUUCCUGUCAUCCGAGAAACAAGGCUUCUGAUAUAAAACACCUUUUUAUGUGAAUGACUUUACUGCUUAUUGGAUGCAGCAAGACUUUUGAGAACAAAGAAAAAUAUUUAUUAAUAAAACAGGGUUUCAGAGGUGGGAUCUCUACUAUAAUCUGUGCCUUACUGUGUUCUUUGAUUGUAUUUUGUUACUUAAUUAACUUUAUUUUUCUUUAAAAAAAAUAAUAGGGGGAAUAGACUCUUCCCUGAUUGCUAAAAUUUGCUUUAGGGAGAUUGUCUUCACAGGUCACCUCCUGGACAAUAAGUGUUACUCUCAGGGAAGCAUGCCUAACGGGAAAUGCUGGGAACAGCUAGAGCAACCUUAGGCACUAACAGUGAGAUUGAUGCCUAGCUCAGCAGAAAGGAACUCAGACGUGCUGAAGGUCAGUGGGUGUAUUAAAGAUGAAAACCUUCAAAGAGAUCUGCUGGAAGCCUCAGCUCUGGCCCACUUCAUCACCACCAGCGCUGCUCCCACAGGAAAGCAGCAAGAUGACAUAGGAGACGGGCAAAGGAAAACUUAGAGUCUCUAACAAUAUCUGAGAUCAAACACAAGCCAACAGGAAGCUGAAACAGGAGGUUUGCGAGUUUGUGAAUUUAAGAACAGUCUGGGAGACCCAGUGUCUAAGUAAGUAAGUAACAACAACAGAACACAUAAGAAAGAAAACUACAAAAACAAACAACAGGCUGUCAGGGCUUCAGAACAGGUAGUACAGAGCUUAGGGUGGCUAAUGCGGCUCUGGGCGGUCUGAGGGACUGCCUGCCGAGCACUGGCCUGGAAACUGCUCACACGUCAGCACAAAGACAGGCACAAAGCACAGCUGUGCCUCCUUCGCAACACAGCUGAGCUCUCCCACCUCAGGGGCUGCAACUGCAACAACCCCAGAAUCUCUCUAGAUAGAAGCAUCAUUCGGCUCAAGCUGAGAUCUUGAAACCGAUGCUCUGGGUGGGUGGGUUAAAGGAAAAGCAGAAAACUACCAGGGAGGGACUGGGAAGUAAGGGGAGAGAAAAAAGCAGCUCUUCAAAAUCAAAAUGAACUUGUGGAACCAAUAAACUUAAAUCUUAAAAUGAAGUAAUAAACCUAACAGAUCUAAAAAGACAUUAAAGAAAGUUAUUUGGGAUGCAGUGAGAGACAUUAUAUAACAUUUCCCAUAAAAAGGAUCAUGUUAUAAAAUGAAAACAACUGGAAAUAAAACAAGGUGUAGAUAUCCAAGAAGAAAUACAAAAGCUAAAAAAAUGGCUUCAAAAAUAAGCAACUCGAACCAGGUAAAUUUCUACCAUCGUCAGUUAAAGGCAUACAACAGAAUAAAGUGUAGUUACUGAAUGAACUAGACCAUAACUGGGGCACAGAGAAAUACUAAAAAUGGAGGGAAAGUGGGCCAGGAAAGAAGAUCAUGCUCACUGCCACCUCCAGGGGAAACAGGCAGCAGUGGUCUUCAGAGGUGACCCAUGUCAGGUUCACAUUCGUAUUCGAUGGGGGGGAGGAAGAGAGAGGAGGUCUCGGCACAUGUCACACGCUUGGCUCGCUUG
Long non-coding RNA from Alexandromys fortis (reed vole), 1811 nucleotides. RefSeq lists it as uncharacterized. The record is from RefSeq and is a predicted model, not a curated record. The transcript has 3 exons. NCBI's taxonomy places the organism in Eukaryota, Metazoa, Chordata, Mammalia, Rodentia, Cricetidae.